This 468-nucleotide ribosomal RNA is filed under the name uncultured bacterium. Its description in RNAcentral is "partial 16S ribosomal RNA". It matches the Rfam family "Bacterial small subunit ribosomal RNA", at positions 28 to 507 of the family's 1533-position model. The record is from RNAcentral.
GACGAACGCUGGCGGCGUGCUUAACACAUGCAAGUCGAACGGAAAGGCCCUGCUUUUGUGGGGUGCUCGAGUGGCGAACGGGUGAGUAACACGUGAGUAACCUGCCCUUGACUUUGGGAUAACUUCAGGAAACUGGGGCUAAUACCGGAUAGGAGCUCCUGCUGCAUGGUGGGGGUUGGAAAGUUUCGGCGGUUGGGGAUGGACUCGCGGCUUAUCCGCUUGUUGGUGGGGUAGUGGCUUACCAAGGCUUUGACGGGUAGCCGGCCUGAGAGGGUGACCGGCCACAUUGGGCCUGAGAUACGGCCCAGACUCCUACGGGAGGCAGCAGUGGGGAAUAUUGCACAAUGGGCGGAAGCCUGAUGCAGCAACGCCGCGUGCGGGAUGACGGCCUUCGGGUUGUAAACCGCUUUCGCCUGUGACGAAGCGUGAGUGACGGUAAUGGGUAAAGAAGCACCGGCUAACUACGUG